CCUACGGGUGGCUGCAGUGAGGAAUAUUGGUCAAUGGGCGCAAGCCUGAACCAGCCAAGUCGCGUGCAGGAAGACGGUCCUAUGGGUUGUAAACCUCUUUUGUCGGGGAGCAAAACACGCCACGCGUGGGGUUCCGCGUGUACCCUAUGAAAAAGCAUCGGCUAACUCCGUGCCAGCAGCCGCGGUAAUACGGAAGGUGCGGGCGUUAUCCGGAUUUAUUGGGUUUAAAGGGUGCGGAGGCGGGAAGUCAAGGCUGCUGUGAAAUGUGCGGGCUCAACCCGUGCCGGGCCGCGAAAACUGGUGUGCUUGAGUGAGCGGAAAGCAGGCGGAAUGCGUGGUGUAGCGGUGAAAUGCUUAGAUAUGACGAAGAACCCCGAUUGCGAAGGCAGCAUGCUGGAGCGGAACUGACGCUGAUGCUCGAAAGUGCGGGUAUCGAACAGGAUUAGAUACCCGAGUAGUC
Molecule: ribosomal RNA, 460 nt
Filed under: uncultured bacterium
Lineage: Bacteria
Description: partial 16S ribosomal RNA
Rfam family: Bacterial small subunit ribosomal RNA
Source: RNAcentral